This 410-nucleotide ribosomal RNA is filed under the name uncultured bacterium. RNAcentral describes it as "bacterial SSU rRNA". It matches the Rfam family "Bacterial small subunit ribosomal RNA", at positions 100 to 526 of the family's 1533-position model. The record is from RNAcentral.
GGACGGGUGAGUAACGCGUGAGGAACCUGCCUUUCAGAGGGGGACAACAGUUGGAAACGACUGCUAAUACCGCAUAACACAUCGGAGUCGCAUGGCUCUGAUGUCAAAGAUUUAUCGCUGAAAGAUGGCCUCGCGUCUGAUUAGCUAGUUGGUGAGGUAACGGCCCACCAAGGCGACGAUCAGUAGCCGGACUGAGAGGUUGACCGGCCACAUUGGGACUGAGAUACGGCCCAGACUCCUACGGGAGGCAGCAGUGGGGAAUAUUGGGCAAUGGGCGCAAGCCUGACCCAGCAACGCCGCGUGAAGGAAGAAGGCUUUCGGGUUGUAAACUUCUUUUGUCAGGGACGAGUAGAAGACGGUACCUGACGAAUAAGCCACGGCUAACUACGUGCCAGCAGCCGCGGUAAUAC